RNAcentral lists this ribosomal RNA (782 nucleotides) under Pintalia sp. 2 PCC-2008. RNAcentral's name for it is "SSU rRNA". It matches the Rfam family "Eukaryotic small subunit ribosomal RNA", at positions 1021 to 1807 of the family's 1831-position model. Lineage: Eukaryota; Metazoa; Arthropoda; Insecta; Hemiptera; Cixiidae. The record is from RNAcentral.
UAGUUCUAACCAUAAACUAUGCCUGCCAGCGAUCCGCCGGCGUUCCUCCGAUGACCCGGCGGGCAGCUUCCGGGAAACCAGAGCUUUUGGGUUCCGGGGGAAGUAUGGUUGCAAAGCUGAAACUUAAAGGAAUUGACGGAAGGGCACCACCAGGAGUGGAGCCUGCGGCUUAAUUUGACUCAACACGGGAAAACUCACCAGGCCCGGACACCGGAAGGAUUGACAGAUUGAGAGCUCUUUCUUGAUUCGGUGGGUGGUGGUGCAUGGCCGUUCUUAGUUGGUGGAGCGAUUUGUCUGGUUAAUUCCGAUAACGAACGAGACUCUAGCCUACUAACUAGACGUAUCCGGUAUCCACAAUCGUGCUACCGGCGAGCAAAUUUCUUCUUAGAGGGACAGGCGGCUUCUAGCCGCACGAGACUGAGCAAUAACAGGUCUGUGAUGCCCUUAGAUGUCCUGGGCCGCACGCGCGCUACACUGAAGGAAUCAGCGUGUCUUCCCUGUCCGAAAGGACCGGGUAACCCGCUGAACCUCCUUCGUGCUAGGGAUUGGGGCUUGCAAUUGUUCCCCAUGAACGAGGAAUUCCCAGUAAGCGCGAGUCAUAAGCUCGCGUUGAUUACGUCCCUGCCCUUUGUACACACCGCCCGUCGCUACUACCGAUUGAAUGAUUUAGUGAGGUCUUCGGACUGGUGCGCGGAGGUGGCUUCUGCUGCUUCCGAUGUUGUCGGAAAGAUGACCAAACUUGAUCAUUUAGAGGAAGUAAAAGUCGUAACAAGGUUUCCGUA